Molecule: long non-coding RNA, 242 nt
Filed under: Vigna radiata
Lineage: Eukaryota; Viridiplantae; Streptophyta; Magnoliopsida; Fabales; Fabaceae
Description: long non-coding RNA (VRAD_LNC009199)
Source: RNAcentral
UUUUGUUUUUCAGUUGCUCACUGCCUAGAGAAGUUGGUUAUUACUUGGCAACCCCAAACUUGAACCUUUAUUAGUACAUCAUCAAAUGUUCUCAACUUAACUCAAGGUAAAGAUUUUUCAAAAAGGUUUUCUAAAACAUGCAUAAGGUUUGAGGUUCAAAGGUUAGAACAACUUGUUCUCUUUUCAGUGGGCAAAAAUUAUGUGAACGCUAAAAGAGCAAGGGAUAACAAAAGAUGGCCUUG